GACGAACGCUGGCGGCGUGCUUAACACAUGCAAGUCGAACGGAAAGGCCCCUUUGGGGGUACUCGAGUGGCGAACGGGUGAGUAACACGUGAGUAACCUGCCCUUGACUUCGGGAUAACUUCAGGAAACUGGGGCUAAUACCGGAUAGGAAUCCUUGCUGCAUGGUGGGGGUUGGAAAGCUUCGGCGGGUUUGGAUGGACUCGCGGCUUAUCAGGCUGUUGGUGGGGUAGUGGCUUACCAAGGCUUUGACGGGUAGCCGGCCUGAGAGGGCGACCGGCCACAAUGGGACUGAGGUACGGCCCAGACUCCUACGGGAGGCAACAGUGGGGAAUAUUGCACAAUGGGCGGAAGCCUGAUGCAGCAACGCCGCGUGCGGGAAGACGGGCUUCGGGUUGUAAACCGCUUUCAGCAGGGGCGAAGCUUGUGGUGACGGUACCUGCAGAAGAAGCACCGGCUAACUACGUG
RNAcentral lists this ribosomal RNA (465 nucleotides) under uncultured bacterium. RNAcentral describes it as "partial 16S ribosomal RNA". It matches the Rfam family "Bacterial small subunit ribosomal RNA", at positions 28 to 507 of the family's 1533-position model. The record is from RNAcentral.